UACGUAGGGUGCGAGCGUUGUCCGGAAUUACUGGGCGUAAAGAGCUCGUAGGUGGUUUGUCGCGUUGUCCGUGAAAACUCACAACUCAAUUGUGGGCGUGCGGGCGAUACGGGCAGACUGGAGUACUGCAGGGGAGACUGGAAUUCCUGGUGUAGCGGUGGAAUGCGCAGAUAUCAGGAGGAGCACCGGUGGCGAAGGCGGGUCUCUGGGCCGAUACUGACGCUGAGGAGCGAAAGCGUGGGGAGCAAACAGG
RNAcentral lists this ribosomal RNA (253 nucleotides) under uncultured bacterium. RNAcentral describes it as "partial 16S ribosomal RNA". It matches the Rfam family "Bacterial small subunit ribosomal RNA", at positions 524 to 776 of the family's 1533-position model. The record is from RNAcentral.